RNAcentral lists this ribosomal RNA (357 nucleotides) under uncultured archaeon. RNAcentral describes it as "bacterial SSU rRNA". It matches the Rfam family "Archaeal small subunit ribosomal RNA", at positions 345 to 704 of the family's 1478-position model. The record is from RNAcentral.
AUACUCCGCAAUGCGGGCAACCGCGACGGGGCUACCCCGAGUGCCGGGCGAAGAGCCCGGCUUUUGCCCGGUCUAAAACGCCGGGAGAAUAAGCGGGGGGCAAGUCUGGUGUCAGCCGCCGCGGUAAUACCAGCUCCGCGAGUGGUCGGGGUGUUUACUGGGCUUAAAGCGCCCGUAGCCGGCCCGGCAAGUCGCUCCUGAAAUCCCAGGGCUCAACCCUGGGGCGGGGGGCGAUACUGCCGGGCUAGGGGGCGGAAGAGGCCGCCGGUACUCCGGGGGUAGGGGCGAAAUCCGUUAAUCCCCGGAGGACCACCAGUGGCGAAAGCGGGCGGCCAGAACGCGCCCGACGGUGAGGGG